This 253-nucleotide ribosomal RNA is filed under the name uncultured bacterium. Its description in RNAcentral is "partial 16S ribosomal RNA". It matches the Rfam family "Bacterial small subunit ribosomal RNA", at positions 524 to 776 of the family's 1533-position model. The record is from RNAcentral.
UACGUAGGGUGCGAGCGUUAAUCGGAAUUACUGGGCGUAAAGCGUGCGCAGGCGGUUUUGUAAGCCAGAUGUGAAAUCCCCGGGCUUAACCUGGGAAUGGCAUUUGGGACUGCAAGGCUCGAGUGCGGCAGAGGAGACUGGAAUUCCUGGUGUAGCAGUGAAAUGCGUAGAUAUCAGGAGGGACACCGAUGGCGAAGGCAGGUCUCUGGGCUGACACUGACGCUCAUGCACGAAAGCGUGGGGAGCAAACAGG